RNAcentral lists this small RNA (159 nucleotides) under uncultured Agathobacter sp. Its description in RNAcentral is "Clostridiales-1 RNA". It matches the Rfam family "Clostridiales-1 RNA". Lineage: Bacteria; Bacillati; Bacillota; Clostridia; Lachnospirales; Lachnospiraceae. The record is from RNAcentral.
UAAGGUGUCACAAAACAGGCUCCAUUCCUGCUUGCAGGAAACGGAGCCUGUUUUUGUGACCCGAACAAACAUGAACAUGAAGCAAUUUUCGAAGAAAAUGAGCGGAAUGUGAAUGUUUGUAGAAUUGCGAGAGUUGCGAAGCAACGGAGCAAUUCGUAG